CAGGGAGACAACAAAAUGUAAAUAUUAAUUUUGUCACCUUAGGUCGAUCGGUAUCUCAGAUUCUUAUUAUUUAAGAAUUUCAGUUUCUAAGUUUUUUCUAGGUCACACCCAUCACUUUUUCCUGGGCCAUUAGCUCAGGUGGUUAGAGCGCACCCCUGAUAAGGGUGAGGUCCCUGGUUCAAGUCCAGGAUGGCCCAUAUCUCUAUGUUGGGGGUAUAGCUCAGUUGGUAGAGCGCCUGCUUUGCAAGCAGGAUGUCAGCGGUUCGAGUCCGCUUACCUCCACUGAAUACCACCUCUUACAUAUAAUUGAAGUGGGAAAUUGUUUUGAGUCGUGUCCUAAUUUGCUCUGAGCGAAUCUAGCUUCCUAUUUUAUCCAAGAAAUAAGAUGCUGGACUCAUUGAAUUUUUUUUCAUUGUUUUCAGAGAACCUUGACAACUGCAUAGAUUAUUUUUAAAGACAAUAAGCAUCUUUAAUGAUGCAGAUUUAUUAUUUGUGCGAAUGCAUUAAAUAACAAUUCUAUUAAGCUGAUGCUUCAAUUAUUGAAGUUAUU
Molecule: transfer RNA, 550 nt
Filed under: uncultured Prochlorococcus sp.
Lineage: Bacteria; Bacillati; Cyanobacteriota; Cyanophyceae; Synechococcales; Prochlorococcaceae
Description: partial 16S-23S ribosomal RNA intergenic spacer
Rfam family: tRNA (bases 210-282)
Source: RNAcentral